CGACCUGGGCGUGAAGAGGCCGCUCCCCAUCAGAGGGAUGUUUCUUUGCGACGAAAGGAGCACGAUGCAGAGAGGCUCAGGGAAGGGCACAGACAUCGAAGAAAUCAACAAACUCAGGAUGAGACCCCUAUCCACGAGGUGGAUACAAUAUUUGGAGGCCCAUAUGUGGGCGUUGAAAUGCGGAACACUAAAAGAAACUACGCCCGUAAGGUUAAGCGCCCCCUCUUACCAGCUACAUUGUGGACCACAGCUCACGAAGGAAUCAAGUUCCACCCAUUAUCUUCACCCAGGAGGACGCUGAAAGGAUUCACUACCCC
Molecule: long non-coding RNA, 317 nt
Filed under: Olea europaea (common olive)
Lineage: Eukaryota; Viridiplantae; Streptophyta; Magnoliopsida; Lamiales; Oleaceae
Description: long non-coding RNA (OEUR_LNC009315)
Source: RNAcentral